AUUGAACGCUGGCGGCAGGCCUAACACAUGCAAGUCGAGCGAGCGGCGGACGGGUGAGUAAUGUCUGGGAAACUGCCUGAUGGAGGGGGAUAACUACUGGAAACGGUAGCUAAUACCGCAUACCAUCAGAUGUGCCCAGAUGGGAUUUGCUAGUAGGUGGGGUAACGGCUCACCUAGGCGACGAUCCCUAUCUGUUCUGAGAGGAUGACCAGCCACACUGGAAUGUGGACACGGUCCAGACUCCUACGCGAGGCAGCAGUGGGGAAUAUUGCACAAUGGGCGCAAGCCUGAUGCAGCCAUGCCGCGUGUGUGAAGAAGGCCUGCGGGUUUUAAAGCACUUUCAGCGGGGAGGCGUUACCCGCAGAAGAAGCACCGGCUAACUCCGUGCCAGCCGCCGCGGUAAUAC
This 406-nucleotide ribosomal RNA is filed under the name uncultured bacterium. Its description in RNAcentral is "partial 16S ribosomal RNA". It matches the Rfam family "Bacterial small subunit ribosomal RNA", at positions 30 to 526 of the family's 1533-position model. The record is from RNAcentral.